CUGGGACUCCUGAUGCUAGAUCAAAAGAAACUUUGCAGAUUAUGCUUGCUCUGGAGAAGGUGAGCUGCCAAAUAAGACAUCUGGAUACUGUGAGACUACCAUGUUGGAUAGGCCACAAAAUGGAGAAGAUCAGGGAAAGUCUGAAUGAAGGCCAGCAGGCAGUAUCAGCCGAACCAAGAAGGGCCAUAAAGCUGCAGACCAGGAAAUCUGCCCUCUGAGAGCACAGAAUUUAGAAUGGACAGCAAAUUUAGUAAAAGUGUUCCAGCUAGAAGAUUUGGAUGAAAAGUGAUUCCAAAAAAAUGAGGCAAUCUCAUCCCGAAACUAUUUAAAACUACUCUCCUCUCUCUUGAUAAACCGUCAGUAGGAAGUGUGUCGUUUAUUCCCUCACUCCACACUGGAUUCAUAUGGGCUGAUAGCAGCAGGAUUAAAAAUUUUUUU
RNAcentral lists this long non-coding RNA (438 nucleotides) under Homo sapiens (human). RNAcentral describes it as "HSALNT0373973". The record is from RNAcentral. Lineage: Eukaryota; Metazoa; Chordata; Mammalia; Primates; Hominidae.